Long non-coding RNA from Passer domesticus (house sparrow), 430 nucleotides. RefSeq lists it as uncharacterized. Lineage: Eukaryota; Metazoa; Chordata; Aves; Passeriformes; Passeridae. The transcript is spliced from 3 exons. The record is from RefSeq and is a predicted model, not a curated record.
UAUUCUGUAAUCAUCUGCCUGAUGUUUCACCUUUACCAGCCCUUGUUCUUGUGGAAGGCUUGACAGAUGACUGCUGGAAACUCAACACAGCAGAGAAGGGGCAGUGUGGGAGGUCUGUUCAGAGUGUGGAAGAUAACUCCCUGACACAGCUGAGACUCAGGAGUAAAUCCAGCAAGGUUUUGGGGAUCCAGACUGAUCCUUCCUCUUUCAAAGGAUAAGGCAGCAGCAUUAACUUCUCUGACUGGUUUUAUUUUGCCUUCUGAAGACUGCUGCAUUCUGGAAUAAUCAAAAUACAGAAGGUCAAGGAACGAAUGUGUCUUCCUCUGGAAAAUGAUCCUGCGGUGAAAUUCUGCAUUAGAGAUCAUCAAGACUACACCAAACAAUUACCCAGUAUGGGCCAGUCCAGAGGCAAGAAAGCUCAUAUUCUGAA